RNAcentral lists this ribosomal RNA (466 nucleotides) under uncultured bacterium. Its description in RNAcentral is "bacterial SSU rRNA". It matches the Rfam family "Bacterial small subunit ribosomal RNA", at positions 28 to 524 of the family's 1533-position model. The record is from RNAcentral.
GACGAACGCUGGCGGCAUGCCUAACACAUGCAAGUCUAGGGGUAGCAAUACCACUGGCGCACGGGUGAGUAACACGUAGGUUAUCUGCCCCCAUCACAGACAUAACCCCGGGAAACCGGGGCUAAUAUCUGAUGAGGUCGCGAGAUCAAAGCUUCGGCGGAUGGGGAUGAGCCUGCGGCUGAUUAGCUAGUUGGUGAGGUAAUGGCUCACCAAGGCGACGAUCAGUAGCUGGUCUGAGAGGACGAACAGCCACACUGGAACUGAGACACGGUCCAGACUCCUACGGGAGGCAGCAGUGAGGAAUAUUGGUCAAUGGGAGCAAUCCUGAACCAGCAAUGCCGCGUGUGGGAUGACAGGGCUUCGCCUUGUAAACCACUGUCGGACGGGACGAAAGGAGGCCUCGGGCCUCUGGGACGGUACCGUCAAAGGAAGGGUCGGCUAACUACGUGCCAGCAGCCACGGUAAU